RNAcentral lists this ribosomal RNA (232 nucleotides) under uncultured bacterium. Its description in RNAcentral is "partial 16S ribosomal RNA". It matches the Rfam family "Bacterial small subunit ribosomal RNA", at positions 102 to 334 of the family's 1533-position model. The record is from RNAcentral.
CACGGGUGCGUAACACGUAUACAAUCUGCCCAUAACAGGGGGAUAGCCCGGAGAAAUCCGGAUUAACCCCCCAUAAUAAAUUGAGUGGCAUCACUUGAUUUUGAAAACUACGGUGGUUAUGGAUGAGUAUGCGUAUGAUUAGCUAGUUGGUGAGGUAAUGGCUCACCAAGGCGACGAUCAUUAGGGGUACUGAGAGGUUAAACCCCCACACGGAUACUGAGACACGGAUCCG